UAGACGGAUUCCAAAGUUUCCGAUCUCCAGGCCGGUUAUGAAAAAACCCAGAGCUUCCUCCUCACCAUGCUGGCAGGCGCCAACAUGAUCUAUGGGGCGG
Molecule: non-coding RNA, 100 nt
Filed under: uncultured Treponema sp.
Lineage: Bacteria; Pseudomonadati; Spirochaetota; Spirochaetia; Treponematales; Treponemataceae
Description: Pyrrolysine insertion sequence mttB
Rfam family: Pyrrolysine insertion sequence mttB
Source: RNAcentral